CCCUAUGGGGUGCAGCAGGCGAGAAAACUUUGCAAUGUGCGAAAGCACGACAAGGUUAAUCCGAGUGGUUUCUGCUAAAGAAACCUUUUGUCAGUCCUAGAACCACUGAUGAAUAAGGGGUGGGCAAGUUCUGGUGUCAGCCGCCGCGGUAAAACCAGCACCUCAAGUGGUCAGGAUGAUUAUUGGGCCUAAAGCAUCCGUAGCCUGUUCUGUAAGUUUUCGGUUAAAUCUAUAAGCUCAACGUAUGGGCUGCCGGGAAUACUGCAGAACUAGGGAGUGGGAGAGGUAGACGGUACUCGGUAGGAAGGGGUAAAAUCCUUUGAUCUAUUGAUGACCACCUGUGGCGAAGGCGGUCUACCAGAACACGUCCGACGGUGAGGGAUGAAAGCUGGGGGAGCAAACCGGAUUAGAUACCCGGGUAGUCCCAGCUGUAAACUAUGCAAACUCAGAUGAUGCAUUGGCUUGUUGCUAGCGCAGUGCUCGCAGGGAAGCCGUUAAGUUUGCCGCCUGGGAAGUACGUACGCAAGUAUGAAACUUAAAGGAAUUGGCGGGGGAGCACCACAAGGGGUGAAGCCUGCGGUUCAAUUGGAGUCAACGCCUGAAUCUUACCCGGAGAGACAGCAGAAUGAAGGUCAAGCUGAGACUUUACCAGACAGCUGAGA
Molecule: ribosomal RNA, 662 nt
Filed under: uncultured marine group I thaumarchaeote
Lineage: Archaea; Thermoproteati; Nitrososphaerota
Description: bacterial SSU rRNA
Rfam family: Archaeal small subunit ribosomal RNA
Source: RNAcentral